AACGAACGCUGGCGGCAUGCCUAACACAUGCAAGUCGAACGAGACCUUCGGGUCUAGUGGCGCACGGGUGCGUAACGCGUGGGAACCUGCCCUUAGGUUCGGAAUAACUCCCCUAAAGGGGUGCUAAUACCGGAUAAUGUCUUCGGACCAAAGAUUUAUCGCCUUUGGAUGGGCCCGCGUUGGAUUAGCUAGUUGGUAGGGUAAAAGCCUACCAAGGCGACGAUCCAUAGCUGGUCUGAGAGGAUGAUCAGCCACACUGGGACUGAGACACGGCCCAGACUCCUACGGGAGGCAGAAGUGGGGAAUAUUGGACAAUGGGCGAAAGCCUGAUCCAGCAAUGCCGCGUGAGUGAUGAAGGCCUUAGGGUUGUAAAGCUCUUUUACCCGGGAUGAUAAUGACAGUACCGGGAGAAUAAGCUCCGGCUAACUCCGUG
RNAcentral lists this ribosomal RNA (433 nucleotides) under uncultured bacterium. RNAcentral describes it as "partial 16S ribosomal RNA". It matches the Rfam family "Bacterial small subunit ribosomal RNA", at positions 29 to 507 of the family's 1533-position model. The record is from RNAcentral.